UACGGAGGGUGCAAGCGUUAUCCGGAUUCACUGGGUUUAAAGGGUGCGUAGGCGGGCAGGUAAGUCAGUGGUGAAAUCUUCGAGCUUAACUCGGAAACUGCCGUUGAUACUAUCUGUCUUGAAUUUUGUGGAGGUGAGCGGAAUAUGUCAUGUAGCGGUGAAAUGCUUAGAUAUGACAUAGAACACCGAUUGCGAAGGCAGCUCACUACACAACGAUUGACGCUGAGGCACGAAAGCGUGGGGAUCAAACAGGAUUAGAUACCCUGGUAGUCCACGCCCUAAACGAUGAUUACUCGACAUACGUGAUAAACUAUGUGUGUCUGAGCGAAAGCAUUAAGUAAUCCACCUGGGAAGUACGAUCGCAAGAUUGAA
RNAcentral lists this ribosomal RNA (372 nucleotides) under uncultured bacterium. Its description in RNAcentral is "bacterial SSU rRNA". It matches the Rfam family "Bacterial small subunit ribosomal RNA", at positions 524 to 898 of the family's 1533-position model. The record is from RNAcentral.